Molecule: long non-coding RNA, 1088 nt
Organism: Zophobas morio
Lineage: Eukaryota; Metazoa; Arthropoda; Insecta; Coleoptera; Tenebrionidae
Exons: 3
Source: RefSeq, a predicted model, not a curated record
AUAUUGUAACAGUUACAGCGUAAUAAUUACGAGAACCGGUUUUAGUUACUUUGUUCCUCUUCCAAAGCUGACUAAAGAACUGUACAGUCUUUUUCUGUAAAAUGCGUGAUGUACAUUCAGCUGAAAAUGUAGAGCCUGUUGAUGGUAUUCGUCUGUUGGUGAACAUACAAGAAAUUCGUAUGUUCCAAGACGUUACUUAUGGGGACGUGUUUAUAUUUGAUGGUAAAAUUGUACCUCUAUGGUGAUGAUUUAUAAGGCGUUGAUUGUUGUUUAUAAGAUACACUUUUGUGAAAAUUCGGAUGUUCUAAUGGAAAAAAUCGGAAAAGAAAUUCUGCCAGUGGAUUGUGGAGGCAAAGAAAAAUCUCUAGAAGAACUCCAAGAAAUGCUUUAUCAGAAAUUUGAAGAACAUAAAGAUUAUUUUACCCAGCUGGAUAAACUUCGUAUAAAUGAAGAUUUGAGACCUCGACGGCUUAAAAGUGAUGAAAUGUUUGGACUUUCUGGCAAUUUUAAGAAAUUAGAAAUUGACUGAGAUUUUUUACUUUUUUAUAUAUAAUUUUUCAUGAUAUAGUUCAUACACUUUAGUUCCUUAAUAUAGCUAUAUAUUAUCGGACAGAACGCGAAAUUUGUCAAUAAAAAAUCUAGAAAACUGUAGUAAUAAACAGCGUCACUAAAUUAUUGCAAAUUUUAUGUAGAAAAUGGCUCCCAAUUAUCACUGGAAACAGAUCUGUAUUUCCAACUGGUCAGAGAAUUUUAAGACAAGACCUUAGUCUAUACCCGCAUAGAACUCAAAUUUAGUCACCUGACGUCACGUCUUUGGAUUAUAACCUCUUCCUUUACGAGCACGAAGUUCUCUACUUGGAUGGGCCGCUGUAUUAAUUUAUUGAAGAACUAAUAAUCAAAGUUAAAAACCAAUGCAACAGUGUAAAAUAUCUGCAUAUUUUUGGUAACACGAAGAGACGGAAUGCAGUGUACCUGUAAAUCAUCAUCACCAUCGACUAUUACUUUCAGUAACUGUUUUGGAAAAAUAAUUGUUAUUGUUUGUUUCAUUUUCCGUUAUUAUUUAUUAAAUAAAGAUUAGGUAUCAACAA